Elaeis guineensis (African oil palm) is the source of this 1290-nucleotide non-coding RNA. The record is from RefSeq and is a predicted model, not a curated record. Lineage: Eukaryota; Viridiplantae; Streptophyta; Magnoliopsida; Arecales; Arecaceae.
CUACGGCUUCACCAGCACCACCCUGCUCUGCCCCAUAAAAGGCCGUAUCAGCUCUCCGCGCUGGGAAAACGGUGACGGGCUAGGGUUUCUCCUCCCCCUUGGGCGAAAGCUAGGGUUCCUCUGUUUCGACUGCAAAAGCUACGCCAUUCCAAGAAAAUUUGAGGAUUCUUGUCCUCCGAGUCUCUUCCAGAGGAGUUCGCCGAUGCUUCAAAGAUCUUUAGGGUGAUAGGAAAGAACGCUUACUUUCCUACAUGGCGAGGAAGGACCGAAUCCUGUUAUCGUAAAAUCUGGGAAUCAAAGCAAGAAGCUCUCCACUCAGGACAAAGCUCUGAUUGUUCAUGGUGACAUUAUUGAUUUGAUUCCUGGUGAUUAUUUAGUUAAGUAUGUAACCUGUCGGCAAUGAGCAUGCAUCUUCAUCAAAAACAGAUUCAAUCUUGUUACGAAAAGAAAAAAGACAUAUUGAAGAGGAGAGUUCAGCUGUCAAAAGGAAUCGACAUAUUGUUGAAGAUGAAACUUUGGAAAGAGCCUUGCAGGGGCUUGAGCUAUCUCUUCUUGCCAAGCAUAGAGCAUGAACUCCAGAGAUUGGAAAGAUUGGAGCUCAAAGAUAAUGAAGCAAUGGAGGAGCUAGUUGCCGAGGAGAAUGGUGUUGAGCUGGAGAAAGGAGCAUUCCCCCCACUGAAGGAUCUGUUACUGAUAAAUUUGUCCAAGUUGACUAGCUUCUAUAGGGGAGCCAGCAGCAAUAUUUCUUAGUCGGCCUUCACUGAAAUGGAUCAUGCUGGGGGACUGUCCAAGUUUGAAGAGGGUCCCAAUUGGCCCAGAAAAUGCACCAAAGCUAAAGAAGGUGCAUGUAGCAGGACAUGAUGUUGAAAGGUUCCAAAAUAUGGUGUGGGAAGAUGCAACAUCCCUUCCUGCUUUUGUAUCUGCAAAUCAGAUGCUGAAAGAGAUUCAGAUUAGACGGACGACUGUGGGGUAUGCUGUUUUCAGGUGCAAGCUUGGGGAAAUGGUGCUUAAUGUGCACUAUGAGGCGGUUGCAAAUUAGAUGGCCAGUUCGGUGGCAACCUUUGCAACCCCUAAUUCGUGUGGAGGGAUGAUUAGAGUGGCUUCGAGAGGAAGCCACAUGGAGGAAUUACCAUGUACUUUUCCUUUUUCCGUGCCGCUAAUGUCAUGAGCCCUUAUACUCUGAGACAAUGAUUAUUUUCAAUCCCGCACUAUGUGCCAAAUGUUGCAAUGUUUUCAUGUUUUAUUCAUUGCCUGAUUGUUUUAUUCUGCCGUUUGAUGGUACUAGGAUGG